Molecule: long non-coding RNA, 1041 nt
Filed under: Homo sapiens (human)
Lineage: Eukaryota; Metazoa; Chordata; Mammalia; Primates; Hominidae
Description: long intergenic non-protein coding RNA 1091
Source: RNAcentral
GACAAAAAAGCUCAAGGCAGGAACAGCAGCCCAGGGACCUGAGACCAGCGUUCUCAAAUGAAGGUGCCAGAUCUGCUGUUAGAGGAGAAUUCUUCUGUCCUAGCUGUGUCUCUGUGAUCUGUGGAUGAGGGUGGGAAAGCACCACUCAGUCAAUUGGGGUGUACAAAAUGGAGUUUGAGAAGGUCUCACAUCCAGGUUGUUUUGAAGCAAAGUCCAAGCAUUGUAUCACUUCAUCUGCAAAUAUUUCAAUAAGUACCCAAAAGUGGUUGGACUGAGUCCCAUGAAGCCAGAUCACUUCUGACUGCAAGGAGCUUGGAAAAGCAAGUAUCUGGAUCUUUUACCAGCUAAAUUUGGAGCGAUGAGGCUUCCUCUUUGAAGAUCACAGGUGAGAAGAUUAGGUGCUUUCUCAGAAGCCCAGCAACCUGAUGGGAGUGUGGAGUGAGCAAGACCCAAAUCGGAGCUUCAUCCCUGCAUGGUUCAUUUUGCUUAUUUGGCAAACUUGCCCUGCAGAAUCUACUCAAGCUUCCUCAGUUUCUCAAAUCAUUCUUGGGCAACAAAUGAACAAGAAAGAGGACGUCUUAUUAUCUGGUGUCUGGCUUGCUGAUUUAAUAACCUAGGAGACAGUGUUUGAAGAACACAAACUCUAAAGUCCUUCACUUAAAAAAAAAAAAAAACUUUCCCAAAUUGCUUACCAUUUGGAAAAAUUGCCUUACCUUCUUCAGUCAUCUCUGAUGUUGUCAUCCUCAGAGUAAGAAGUACGCAUUCAUAAGGAACCAUAACGUCCUUCAGGAAAUCCAGUACACCCUACAAUUUUACCUAAAACUUUGAUGUUGUUUUUUCUGAGCAUUUUACCUUCUAGGGAAAUGGAUCUCAUGCUGUUUAUCAGUUUCUGAAAGUUGUUAUUAAUCUCCCCUCAUCCCAAAAUUGAAGAACUUUGCUUAAAUCUUAGAAUCAGAACUUUGGCUCCAGUAAUAAAGACUUUUCAAUAUCUUUAUCUGCCAUUGAGUCUUACCUAACGAAAUAAAGCCUCCAAAGUGGGAA